Molecule: ribosomal RNA, 375 nt
Filed under: uncultured organism
Description: bacterial SSU rRNA
Rfam family: Bacterial small subunit ribosomal RNA
Source: RNAcentral
CGGGGGGAGCAAGCGUUGUUCGGAUUUACUGGGCGUAAAGGGCGCGUAGGCGGCCACCGCAAGUCGACUGUGAAAUCUCCGGGCUUAACCCGGAAAGGUCAGCCGAUACUGCGGGGCUAGAGUGCAGAAGGGGCAACUGGAAUUCUCGGUGUAGCGGUGAAAUGCGUAGAUAUCGAGAGGAACACCUGCGGCGAAGGCGGGUUGCGUGGGCUGACACUGACGCUGAGGCGCGAAAGCUAGGGGAGCGAACGGGAUUAGAUACCCCGGUAGUCCUAGCCUUAAACGAUGAAUGCUUGGUGUCUGGGGUUUUAUAGUCCCCGGGUGCCGUCGCCAACGCUUUAAGCAUUCCGCCUGGGGAGUACGGUCGCAAGACUG